UACGUAGGGUGCAAGCGUUGUCCGGAAUUAUUGGGCGUAAAGAGCUCGUAGGCGGCUUGUCGCGUCGUCCGUGAAAACCUGCAGCUCAACUGCAGGCUUGCGGUCGAUACGGGCAGGCUCGAGUUCGGUAGGGGAGACUGGAAUUCCUGGUGUAGCGGUGAAAUGCGCAGAUAUCAGGAGGAACACCGGUGGCGAAGGCGGGUCUCUGGGCCGAUACUGACGCUGAGGAGCGAAAGCGUGGGGAGCGAACAGG
Molecule: ribosomal RNA, 253 nt
Filed under: uncultured bacterium
Lineage: Bacteria
Description: partial 16S ribosomal RNA
Rfam family: Bacterial small subunit ribosomal RNA
Source: RNAcentral